GACGAACGCUGGCGGCGUGCUUAACACAUGCAAGUCGAACGGAAAGGCCCUGCUUUUGUGGGGUGCUCGAUUGGCGAACGGGUGAGUAACACGUGAGUAACCUGCCCUUGUCUUUGGGAUAACUUCAGGAAACUGGGGCUAAUACCGGAUAGGAUCUCCUGCUGCAUGGUGGGGGUUGGAAAGUUUCGGCGGUUGGGGAUGGACUCGCGGCUUACCAGCUUGUUGGUGGGGUAGUGGCUUACCAAGGCUUUGACGGGUAGCCGGCCUGAGAGGGUGACCGGCCACAUUGGGACUGAGAUACGGACCAGACUCCUACGGGAGGCAGCAGUGGGGAAUAUUGCACAAUGGGCGGAAGCCUGAUGCAGCAACGCCGCGUGCGGGAUGACGGCCUUCGGGUUGUAAACCGCUUUCGACUGUGACGAAGCGUGAGUGACGGUAAUGGGUAAAGAAGCACCGGCUAACUACGUG
RNAcentral lists this ribosomal RNA (468 nucleotides) under uncultured bacterium. Its description in RNAcentral is "partial 16S ribosomal RNA". It matches the Rfam family "Bacterial small subunit ribosomal RNA", at positions 28 to 507 of the family's 1533-position model. The record is from RNAcentral.